This 173-nucleotide ribosomal RNA is filed under the name Oenococcus oeni. Its description in RNAcentral is "partial 16S ribosomal RNA". It matches the Rfam family "Bacterial small subunit ribosomal RNA", at positions 1 to 149 of the family's 1533-position model. Lineage: Bacteria; Bacillati; Bacillota; Bacilli; Lactobacillales; Lactobacillaceae. The record is from RNAcentral.
UUUUUAAAUUGAGAGUUUGAUCCUGGCUCAGGAUGAACGCUGGUGGCGUGCCUAAUACAUGCAAGUCGUACGCUAGCCGCUGAAUUGAUCCUUCGGGUGAAGUGAGGCAAUGACUAGAGUGGCGAACUGGUGAGUAACACGUAAGAAACCUGCCCUUUAGUGGGGGAUAACAU